This is a long non-coding RNA of Glycine soja, 2437 nucleotides long. RefSeq lists it as uncharacterized. NCBI's taxonomy places the organism in Eukaryota, Viridiplantae, Streptophyta, Magnoliopsida, Fabales, Fabaceae. The record is from RefSeq and is a predicted model, not a curated record. The transcript is spliced from 5 exons.
CGCCAUGAAGGUUUAGUGAAAGAAAGUAAUCCAAAAAUGUCGAAGAGCUGAGUCUUGAAAAAGCAUAACAAGACUUUCCUAGAUUGGUUUGAAGAUACAAUCUUUGCUGAUGAGAAUGCUUCUAAAACAUUAAGAAAACUAGCAGAUGGGCCUAAAAGAAAUGUUAUAACUUGGCAAGGAUACGAUAUAAACAAGUUUUUUUUAUACAAAAGCACAAGAUGAGAAAAGUACAAUGCAAAAUAGCGGGGUCACCCUAAGGGCUAAAUCUCAACACGUCGCCAGUGUACAUGAUAACAAUCCCUGUGUAGCUUCCAUCCCUUACUUUGGGUUCAUUGAACAAAUUUGGGAGCUUAACUAUGUCAAAUUUACUUUUUUUGUUUUCAUAUGUAAAUAGGUUGAUAACAACACCGGUGUGCGGAUCGAUGAUGUAGGAUUUAUGUUGGUAGAUCUAAAGAAACUCGCUUACCAGAAUGACCCUUUCAUCAUGGCAGAACAAGCUAAACAAGUAUUUUAUGUUCAAGACCCUUGUGAUGAAAGGUGGUCAGUGGUUCUACAUGGGAAAACAAUUGGUGUUAAUGUUGAAGAUGAUGAUUCAUGCAUUGAUAUUUACGUUAGUCCUUUGUCCACACAAAUGUCGCGUAACAUUGUUAGAGAAGAAGCUGACAAUGUUCAUACUAAUUGUAAUGAUCAUGAUGAAGGAGAAUUAAUUAACAUCGUCUAAUCAAAUGGCUACUCCACCCAGCUCUCGUCGUCGUCGUUGUCCUCCUCCUACUGGUGCAGCAUCACAAUCGCCGUCUACCUUGAAGCGGACAAGAAAAGCCACACAGCUAAGAUCAUUGGCGACUAGACUAGCUGGGACAGAGACACCGCUGGUCCAUGUAGAUCCUGCGACGGGAAGGCCAAUGGUUCCCACAAAAAGAAGUUAAGAACAUAUUUGGGGAUCGUCGCUCGUGAUAAGGUCGAUGUGACAUACGAGAAUUGGAAGCAAGUCCCUACUGCUCGGAAGGAUUUGAUAUGGAAGGAUAUUCAGGUUGAAUUUGAUAUCCCUGAAGCAUCUGAUGUAAGGACAAAAAAGAAAAUACUUUAGACUAUGAGAGAGCAGUGGAGACAAUUUAAGUCUGAUUUGACGUCCAAAUGGGCAUUUGUAGCCGACAAGGACAGUGUCGAUGACAUUAUAUGCGAAAAGUACAACAUUAGCAAGGAGAAAUGAGCCCAAUUUUGUCAGAGUCGUAGAGACCCUUCGUGGGAGAUGUGCAGAAAAAGGCACAGGCCAGCCAUAAGCAAAACACUGCUCCCCAUGUGUUGUCUCGUGGGGGUUAUGAAUAUUUAGAAAAGAAGCUGAUGGAUGAGAAGACAAAAAAAAAAAAUAUAGGAAGCUACUCAAUCCGGAAGCACUAACACCAUGAUCUAUCCUCCAUCUCCCAUCAGAUGGCACGUCAAAUGCAAGAUGACCCGCACGAAGAAAAUUGACCAGAUGACGUAUGAGGCAGCAAAGGAAAUUGCUGACAAGAUUGAUUCGUUGGAGGAGCAGGUGCCACAGGGUUGUUGUCCAUGGACGUCAGAAUGUUCUGACUGCUACCAUUGGGCGACCAGAACACCCCAGUCGUGUGGGUGCUGCUAGAGCCGGUGUGACGAUCAAGCAAUACUUUGGACCGACUAGAGGAGUUGAUCACAAAAAAAGUGACUCGAUAACUAAUGUUAUCGUUAAGCUAGAUGUAGUCCCAGUUUCAGUCGCAGAUACAAUCACAGGGACUUGCACUGCCUCCUGAGCCUGAGGUUGGUCCUUCAGCCGCUCGUGUCAGCACAAAGGAGAGUUGUAUUGAUCACUCAGGGAACGAUCCAGACAUGUGUGACUCAGACAAAUGCGGGUUGUACAUCGAUGAAAAUCCUCCUCGCCUGGUUGCCCUAGGAAGAGUUUAUGAGGGAUCCAUAAUCAUUCACAACAUCCCUUUGUUGCAUGAUCAAGUGAAGGUCGGUGUUGAGGAGGUUAGAGAUGCAGAUGCUCUUAUUCCUGUACCCAUUGAAGAGGUUAAGUUAGUGGGGUAGACACUUAACACCUUCCUUACUUGGCCAACACAUCUGGUCAAGUGUUUAUCAGAACAAGUAUUUCAGUGUCACUAAAUGCUUCAUUUUUCAAUUAAAAUGUUCACUGUAAUAAAAUUAUGUUGGAUAAACAAGGAGUUGUUGGACCAAUAAAACCUGCAGAUUGGCCGGAUCAUGAGGUUGAUGAUCCCCUAUAUCUGAUGACAUUGACCAUCCCACAAAUUUUUCUGAAGCCAUUGUAGGUUAUGUGGGAUGCUACCGUGUUCGGGGUGUUUAAUGAAUACUUUCCCUUGUACAUAAAGUAUGAAGAUUUGUUUAAAAUAGCACUGUUAGUCUAUGAAUACGACUAACUUUUGUGUAUAAAACAUAUGUAUAUUGUAUCAAACUUUCCCAA